CAGUCGAGCGAUGAAGUUUCUUCGGAAAUGGAUUAGCGGCGAACGGGUGAGGAACACGUGAAGAAUCUGCCCUCCACUUUGGGAUAACACCGGGAAACCGGCGCUAAUACUGAAUAUUGAAACAUAAGUGGCAUCACUGAGUUUUGAAAGAAUUUCGGUGGAGGAUGACUUCGCGGCCUAUCAGCUAGUUGGUGAGGUAAUGGCUCACCAAGGCAACGACGGGUAGCCGGCCUGAGAGGGCGACCGGCCACACUGGGACUGAGACACGGCCCAGACUCCUACGGGAGGCAGCAGUGGGGAAUAUUGGGCAAUGGAGGAAACUCUGACCCAGCGACGCCGCGUGCGGGAUGAAGGCCUUCGGGUUGUAAACCGCUUUCAGUAGGGAAGAAGCGAAAGUGACGGUACCUACAAAAGAAGCACCGGCUAACUAUGUGCCAGCAGCCGCGGUAAUACAUAGGGUGCAAGCGUUGUCCGGAAUUAUUGGGCGUAAAGAGCUCGUAGGUCGUUUGUUACGUCGGAUGUGAAAACCUGAGGCUCAACCUCAGGCCUGCAUUCGAUACGGGCAAACUAGAGUUUGGUAGGGGAGACUGGAAUUCCUGGUGUAGCGGUGGAAUGCGCAGAUAUCAGGAGGAACACCAAUGGCGAAGGCAGGUCUCUGGGCCAAUACUGACACUGAGGAGCGAAAGUCUGGGGAGCGAACAGGAUUAGAUACCCUGGUAGUCCAGACCGUAAACGGUGGGCACUAGUUGUGGGAACCUUCCACGGUUUCUGCGACGCAGCUAACGCAUUAAGUGCCCCGCCUGGGGAGUACGAUCGCAAGAUUAAAACUCAAAGGAAUUGACGGG
RNAcentral lists this ribosomal RNA (845 nucleotides) under uncultured bacterium. Its description in RNAcentral is "bacterial SSU rRNA". It matches the Rfam family "Bacterial small subunit ribosomal RNA", at positions 59 to 917 of the family's 1533-position model. The record is from RNAcentral.